UCGUUAUGCAUUAGAAUGGUGGGUAUACUGUAUAAUCCCCGAGGGGGAAAGAUUUAUCGCUAUUAGAUGAGCCUACGUUAGAUUAGCUAGUUGGUGAGGUAAUGGCUUACCAAGGCUAUGAUCUAUAGCUGGUCUGAGAGGACGAUCAGCCACACUGGAACUGAGAUACGGUCCAGACUCCUACGGGAGGCAGCAGUGGGGAAUAUUGGACAAUGGGCGAAAGCCUGAUCCAGCUAUGCCGCGUGAGUGAAGAAGGCCUUCGGGUUGUAAAACUCUUUCAAUAGGGAAGAUAAUGACGGUACCUAUAGAAGAAGUCCCGGCAAACUCUGUGCCAGCAGCCGCGGUAAUACGGAGGGGGCAAGCGUUGUUCGGAAUUAUUGGGCGUAAAGGGCACGUAGGUGGACUAGUAAGUUAAAAGUGAAAUACCAAAGCUUAACUUUGGAGCGGCUUUUAAUACUGCUAGACUAGAGGUCGAAAGAGGAUAGCGGAAUUCCCUAGA
Molecule: ribosomal RNA, 499 nt
Filed under: uncultured Ehrlichia sp.
Lineage: Bacteria; Pseudomonadati; Pseudomonadota; Alphaproteobacteria; Rickettsiales; Anaplasmataceae
Description: bacterial SSU rRNA
Rfam family: Bacterial small subunit ribosomal RNA
Source: RNAcentral